RNAcentral lists this ribosomal RNA (858 nucleotides) under Klebsiella pneumoniae. RNAcentral describes it as "bacterial LSU rRNA". It matches the Rfam family "Bacterial large subunit ribosomal RNA", at positions 398 to 1258 of the family's 2925-position model. RNAcentral also lists the same sequence under 4 other names. The record is from RNAcentral. Lineage: Bacteria; Pseudomonadati; Pseudomonadota; Gammaproteobacteria; Enterobacterales; Enterobacteriaceae.
UGUGAACUCGAAGAGUAGGGCGGGACACGUGGUAUCCUGUCUGAAUAUGGGGGGACCAUCCUCCAAGGCUAAAUACUCCUGACUGACCGAUAGUGAACCAGUACCGUGAGGGAAAGGCGAAAAGAACCCCGGCGAGGGGAGUGAAAAAGAACCUGAAACCGUGUACGUACAAGCAGUGGGAGCACCUUCGGGUGUGACUGCGUACCUUUUGUAUAAUGGGUCAGCGACUUAUAUUCUGUAGCAAGGUUAACCGUAUAGGGGAGCCGCAGGGAAACCGAGUCUUAACUGGGCGUUAAGUUGCAGGGUAUAGACCCGAAACCCGGUGAUCUAGCCAUGGGCAGGUUGAAGGUUGGGUAACACUAACUGGAGGACCGAACCGACUAAUGUUGAAAAAUUAGCGGAUGACUUGUGGCUGGGGGUGAAAGGCCAAUCAAACCGGGAGAUAGCUGGUUCUCCCCGAAAGCUAUUUAGGUAGCGCCUCGUGAAUUCAUCUUCGGGGGUAGAGCACUGUUUCGGCUAGGGGGUCAUCCCGACUUACCAACCCGAUGCAAACUACGAAUACCGAAGAAUGUUAUCACGGGAGACACACGGCGGGUGCUAACGUCCGUCGUGAAGAGGGAAACAACCCAGACCGCCAGCUAAGGUCCCAAAGUCAUGGUUAAGUGGGAAACGAUGUGGGAAGGCACAGACAGCCAGGAUGUUGGCUUAGAAGCAGCCAUCAUUUAAAGAAAGCGUAAUAGCUCACUGGUCGAGUCGGCCUGCGCGGAAGAUGUAACGGGGCUAAACCAUGCACCGAAGCUGCGGCAGCGACACUAUGUGUUGUUGGGUAGGGGAGCGUUCUGUAAGCCUGCGAAGGUG